CAGCCGCCACGGUAAUACGUAGGGUGCGAGCGUUAAUCGGAAUUACUGGGCGUAAAGCGUGCGCAGGCGGUUGUGUAAGACAGGUGUGAAAUCCCCGGGCUUAACCUGGGAACUGCGCUUGUGACUGCACAGCUAGAGUAUGGCAGUGGGGGGUGGAAUUCCACGUGUAGCAGUGAAAUGCGUAGAGAUGUGGAGGAACACCGAUGGCGAAGGCAGCCCCCUGGGCCAAUACUGACGCUCAUGCACGAAAGCGUGGGGAGCAAACAGGAUUAGAUACCCGCGUAGUCCCUGUCUCUUAUAC
Molecule: ribosomal RNA, 301 nt
Filed under: uncultured bacterium
Lineage: Bacteria
Description: partial 16S ribosomal RNA
Rfam family: Bacterial small subunit ribosomal RNA
Source: RNAcentral